CCAUAACUAAUGAACUUGAUUGUCUAUGUAAAUUGUACGAGAAUCCUACGUUGUUGCCUGCACUUGGAAUUAAUAUUACUCAAGCACUUGCACUUCCUAAAGCAUGUAAUAUUCCUGGUGAUCUCAGUUCUUGCAAUGGUAUGAUCUUUUCUUCUUCAUGCUUUUUUCCUGCUUUAGUUAUUCGGUGUUCGAGCUUUGGAAUUAGUCAUUAAUGUUUGCAUCAGGGUUCACUACUUAUAUUACAAUGGGGCAGAGACGAAGCCAGAAUUUUAAACUUAGUUAUGAAUUCCAAAUCUUUUAAAUUAAUGUAUUCCAAAUUAAUAAUUUAUAUACUUUCAAUAAAUUUCUUAGAAAAAAUACACGAUUUGGAUUAAAGCUAAUGGGUUCGCCCGAAACGGUAUUGCUCUCCCUCUGCCCCUGUUUUGGGGUACAAUCCAUUACGGGAGAUGUAAUGGUGUUCAUAAAAGUCUGAAAACCUGAAUCAAACCGAAAACCAAACCAAACCAACCAAAAAAUAAACCGAUACUUUUUGGUUUAGUUUGGUUUUGGCUUUAAAAUUUAAAAUUGAUCAAAUUUGGUUUGAUUUUGGUUUUAGUUAAAAAAAUCCGAACAAAAUCGAAUAUAGGAAUAGCUAUUUAAAAAAAUUAUUAUUAACUUAUAU
Molecule: long non-coding RNA, 661 nt
Filed under: Nicotiana benthamiana
Lineage: Eukaryota; Viridiplantae; Streptophyta; Magnoliopsida; Solanales; Solanaceae
Description: long non-coding RNA (NBEN_LNC002453)
Source: RNAcentral